RNAcentral lists this ribosomal RNA (254 nucleotides) under uncultured bacterium. RNAcentral's name for it is "partial 16S ribosomal RNA". It matches the Rfam family "Bacterial small subunit ribosomal RNA", at positions 524 to 776 of the family's 1533-position model. The record is from RNAcentral.
UACGUAGGGGGCGAGCGUUGUCCGGAUUUAUUGGGCGUAAAGAGCUCGUAGGCGGCUUGGCAAGUCGGGUGUGAAACCUCCAGGCUCAACCUGGAGACGCCACUCGAUACUGCUAUGGCUAGAGUCCGGUAGGGGACCACGGAAUUCCUGGUGUAGCGGUGAAAUGCGCAGAUAUCAGGAGGACCACCGGUGGCGAAGGCGGUGGUCUGGGCCGGCACUGACGCUGAGGAGCGAAAGCAUGGGGAGCGAACAGG